RNAcentral lists this long non-coding RNA (1323 nucleotides) under Bos taurus (domestic cattle). RNAcentral's name for it is "long non-coding RNA NONBTAT000110". Lineage: Eukaryota; Metazoa; Chordata; Mammalia; Artiodactyla; Bovidae. The record is from RNAcentral.
UGUUAGCAUAUGCCAAAAUUCAACUGUGGAAGGCUCAUAAAAAUGAAACACUUCAAUCCUAAAGUGAAAAUUUCUCAAAAAUGUCUUCUACUUACAGACUUAAUAAUGUUGAGAUGAAAUGAUUACACAUGUAACUGAGUCUAUAUGUAGCAAUUGCUGAACAAAUAUGAUUUCCUUCCAAGUUCCUCUUCUUCCUUCUUAAAAAUUGUAUUUUCUCAUUAGAUGCAGCUAUUUAACAACAUUACACACAAUGCUAAUAAUUUCUUCUCUUAAGCUCAUAUUAUAUGCAACAUUUAAUAUUUUAGUAAACAUAGUUAAUAUCCUUAGAAAAAUUGUUUAUUAUUCACUAUAGGAUUUUACUGACACCUUAACUACAUUAGUUGGUACCACUACUGUAAUUUCUUAAAUAUUUUCAGGAUUUUAACCACAUGAUGUUCUUAAUAGUUAAUAUAAAAAUUGCCCAUACAAAGUUAAUAUUGCCACUUAUUUUAGUAUUUUUCCUAAAAUUAAAGCGUAUAUCUUUUAGCAUCUGGUCUUAGCCUUCCUUGGGAAAAUGAAGUAUUGACUAUUGGAUCAUUUCAAUCACAGCCAGACAUUGGAGAAUAGAUGAAACAAAGAGCUGAAAAAAUUCAGAAAGGCAAACUGAGCUCUGACACUAGGAGUAGGUAAGAAGGACCAUCAUGUGAGAGGUGUUGGAGCAAGAACAAGGAAGAUUGUAUAGAUAAAAAUUAAGGCCAAUAAUACUGAUGCAAAGGAGGAAACUUACAGAAAUCCAGAGAAGAUAAUUAACAUACAUAGAAGCUAUGAUUCAACUUUGCAAAUAGGAGUUAUUUUAGAGAAAAACAGGCAUUAUGUAAAACAAAUGGUACUGUUAAAGAGAAAACAUAUCUAUUCCAAGUUUUGAAGGGAUGCUCAUGGUUUAGCAUUUGCCUCUAAACUCUGUUAGGCAUCUGUAAACUUAGAAAUAAAGUUUAAAAAAGAAUCUUAUUUUUUGGUAUGUGAAUUCUAUGCUGUGCUCAGUAUGCGUUGAAACAUGCUGCCUUUUAUUUUCUUUAACUUAUAUAUGCCAUUCAAAUUCUAUAUUGUUAAGUUAGCAACCACAAAGUUUUCUUUUUGUUUCAAUAGAGUAUGUCCCUAUGAAAUGCUGUGUAUAUAUGUCUAAACUGUAAAAAUGAUACUGCAAAUGUUGAAGUUUUGUAUUUAUGAAAGACAUUGAAAGUAUGGCUUACAGUAUAUCAAAAUUGUCACUCUUCACCAUUUGUAUAUUAAUAGUAAAAUACUUUUACUUUAAUAAAGUGUUGCAUUUAUGUUUAUUUUGAAUAG